RNAcentral lists this long non-coding RNA (996 nucleotides) under Monodelphis domestica (gray short-tailed opossum). RNAcentral describes it as "lncRNA (ENSMODG00000037457.1)". Lineage: Eukaryota; Metazoa; Chordata; Mammalia; Didelphimorphia; Didelphidae. The record is from RNAcentral.
CUCUCCCUCUCAUUUUACCAUUGAGGAAAAUAAGGCACAUGGGAGAUUAAUUGACUUGCCCAAAGUUUCUUAGGUAAGCAGUAGAGACAGAAUUUGAACCCAUGUCCUCUGACUCCAGAAUCAGUACUUUUUCCAUUGUACUCUGCUGCUUCAAGCCCUGCCUCUGAGAUAUACUCAGUGUGGCUCUGAGGACAACACUUACCUGCUCUCUGCCCCCAGCCAAUUCUAGAUUUUCAGCUGUUGAGCAGUUGUGUUGAUAGGAGGAGAUUGCUUGUUAGAAGUUCCCUCGACCCAGAUAAAGAACAAAAACAAAAACAAACCACUCUCUAAAUCAUUGACUGUGGUAAUAAUAUCUCAAUAUGGUUAGAGUUGCUGAAAUACUCAAAAUGAAUGACAAAGAACCAGUUGAUGGGUCUAGAGAUAAUUUUUAUGCUUAGCUAGAUAUUCAAAAGGUUAUAGAAUGAAAGCAGUUUAGCUGAAUGGGCAGCCCAGCAGGUCACUCUACUUCUGUCAAAACCCCGCCCUGAUCUUCAGCUGGGUAACAAGCUAUUCAUUUCCUAGUACUUUUUGGAAACUGCCAACUUUAAGACAUAAACAGGUUGAUCUAAGCUGGUGAUGUGUGUGGGUGAAGAUGGUGUGAAAGAAGACUUGACAGAGAAGCACAACAGAGGAUAUAAUUCGAUUUGUUAUGUUGUAAGGGAUUUGAUAGACUAUCAAACAGCUGCUACUUAGACUGAAUCUCAGUUAUUCCUUAUUUGGAGAAUUCAAAGAAGCUGAGAAGAAAGAAAAUGCAUCGUACUUCCAUUGAAAGAUGAGAAUCAGAGGUGCUACAACUGGACUUUUCAAAAAUCUAACUUGCAGAAGGGUAGAAAGAUGAUUACUACUAGACCCUCUAGUGGCUAUUAGUUCAAAGAGAGAAGAUGGGUAGAUAGAUGACAGGCGGAUAAACCGAUAGUCAUAGUUAAAAUCUAUCAAUAAAAUUUAUUUGGUAUAGCA